Molecule: long non-coding RNA, 239 nt
Organism: Hyaena hyaena (striped hyena)
Lineage: Eukaryota; Metazoa; Chordata; Mammalia; Carnivora; Hyaenidae
Exons: 3
Source: RefSeq, a predicted model, not a curated record
GGCCAAGCUGAAGAAGGACCAGAAGAGAUGGAAUUCCUCAUACUUUAUUCCCCUGCUCCCUGUUGGAAUACUGCAAUUCCACAAAAGCAGACGUAGAGAUGCCAAUGGAGAAGCUGUUCCUUCUUGAGAAAAGGCCAUCCAAGGAUACAGUGAGAUGUCAACAGCCGGCUGCAAGCCAGGAAGAGAGAUCUCAUCAUAAACCAACUCUUCCGGCACCUUGACCUGGACUUCAGCCUCCA